UGAGAUGUUGGGUUAAGUCCCGCAACGAGCGCAACCCUCAUCCUUAGUUGCUAUCAGGUAAUGCUGAGUACUUUAAGGAAACUGCCAGUGAUAAGCUGGAGGAAGGUGGGGAUGAUGUCAAGUCAUCAUGGCCUUUAUGGAGUGGGCUACACACGUGCUACAAUGGUGUCUACAAUGGGUUGCAAGGUGCGCAAGCUUAAGUUAAUCCCUAAAAGACAUCUCAGUUCGGAUUGUACUCUGCAACUCGAGUACAUGAAGUUGGAAUCGCUAGUAAUCGUGGAUCAGCAUGCCACGGUGAAUACGUUCUCGGGUCUGUACACACUGCCCGUCACGCCAUGGGAAUUGGUU
RNAcentral lists this ribosomal RNA (348 nucleotides) under Wolbachia pipientis. Its description in RNAcentral is "bacterial SSU rRNA". It matches the Rfam family "Bacterial small subunit ribosomal RNA", at positions 1068 to 1416 of the family's 1533-position model. The record is from RNAcentral. Lineage: Bacteria; Pseudomonadati; Pseudomonadota; Alphaproteobacteria; Rickettsiales; Anaplasmataceae.